RNAcentral lists this ribosomal RNA (253 nucleotides) under uncultured bacterium. RNAcentral describes it as "partial 16S ribosomal RNA". It matches the Rfam family "Bacterial small subunit ribosomal RNA", at positions 524 to 776 of the family's 1533-position model. The record is from RNAcentral.
GACGGAGGAUGCAAGCGUUAUCCGGAAUCACUGGGCGUAAAGCGUCUGUAGGCGGUUUAAUAAGUCAACUGUUAAAUCUUGAGGCUCAACCUCAAAAUCGCAGUCGAAACUAUUAGGCUAGAGUAUAGUAGGGGUAAAGGGAAUUUCCAGUGGAGCGGUGAAAUGCGUAGAGAUUGGAAAGAACACCGAUGGCGAAGGCACUUUACUGGGCUAUUACUAACACUCAGAGACGAAAGCUAGGGUAGCAAAUGGG